GUUUGAUCCUGGCUCAGGAUGAACGCUGGCGGCGUGCCUAAUACAUGCAAGUCGAACGAGGUGCUUUUGUAGCAAUACGAAAGUAUCCUAGUGGCGAACGGGUGAGUAACGCGUUGGUGACCUGCCCCAAAGUGUGGGAUAACAGUCCGAAAGGAUUGCUAAUACCUCAUGUGGUCAUCGGGUUUAGAAACCGAUGACUAAAGCAGCAAUGCGCUUUGGGAGGGGCCUGCGUCCCAUCAGCUAGUUGGUGAGGUAAUGGCUCACCAAGGCGACGACGGGUAGGGGACCUGAGAGGGUGGCCCCCCACAAUGGAACUGAAACACGGUCCAUACACCUACGGGUGGCAGCAGUAGGGAAUAUUGCUCAAUGGGCGAAAGCCUGAAGCAGCAACGCCGCGUGCGCGAUGAAGGUCUUCGGAUCGUAAAGCGCUUUUAUGAGGGAUGAGAAAGGACAGUACCUCAGGAAUAAGUCUCGGCUAACUACGUGCCAGCAGCCACGGUAAAACGUAGGAGGCAAGCGUUAUCCGGAUUCACUGGGCGUAAAGCGCGUGCAGGCGGUUCGGUAAGUUGGGCGUGAAAUCUCCUGGCUUAACUGGGAGAGGUCGUCCAAUACUACCGGACUUGAGAGUGAUAGAGGAAGAUGGAAUUCCCGGUGUAGUGGUGAAAUGCGUAGAUAUCGGGAGGAACACCAGUGGCGAAAGCGAUCUUCUGGAUCAUUUCUGACGCUCAGACGCGAAAGCUAGGGUAGUAAACGGGAUUAGAGACCCCGGUAAUCCUAGCCGUAAACGAUGUAAACUUGGCGUUGGUGGCUUAAACACCAUCAGUGCCGCAGCUAACGCGAUAAGUUUACCGCCUGGGGACUACGAUCGCAAGAUUAAAACUCAAGGAAUUGACGGGGGCCCGCACAAGCAGCGGAGCGUGUGGUUUAAUUCGAUGCUACACGAAGAACCUUACUCGGGUUUGACAUGCAA
RNAcentral lists this ribosomal RNA (970 nucleotides) under bacterium enrichment culture clone 1.31. Its description in RNAcentral is "bacterial SSU rRNA". It matches the Rfam family "Bacterial small subunit ribosomal RNA", at positions 11 to 991 of the family's 1533-position model. The record is from RNAcentral.